Molecule: ribosomal RNA, 497 nt
Filed under: uncultured bacterium
Lineage: Bacteria
Description: partial 16S ribosomal RNA
Rfam family: Bacterial small subunit ribosomal RNA
Source: RNAcentral
GAUGAACGCUGGCGGCGUGCCUAAUACAUGCAAGUCGAGCGAACAGACGAGGAGCUUGCUCCUCUGACGUUAGCGGCGGACGGGUGAGUAACACGUGGAUAACCUACCUAUAAGACUGGGAUAACUUCGGGAAACCGGAGCUAAUACCGGAUAAUAUAUUGAACCGCAUGGUUCAAUAGUGAAAGACGGUUUUGCUGUCACUUAUAGAUGGAUCCGUGCCGCAUUAGCUAGUUGGUAAGGUAACGGCUUACCAAGGCAACGAUGCGUAGCCGACCUGAGAGGAUGAUCGGCCACACUGGAACUGAGACACGGUCCAGACUCCUACGGGAGGCAGCAGUAGGGAAUCUUCCGCAAUGGGCGAAAGCCUGUCGGAGCAACGCCGCGUGAGUGAUGAAGGUCUUCGGAUCGUAAAACUCUGUUAUUAGGGAAGAACAAAUGUGUAAGUAACUAUGCACGUCUUGACGGUACCUAAUCAGAAAGCCACGGCUAACUACGUG